ACAAGCUCCUGGGUGGUCCCUGGUUCGUGCGGUUGUUCGGUAGUUGAACAGGACAAUGUUAAAAUAGGAGGGGCAUGCAAUCUACCGAACAGAAUAGCAAAAAGGCACAAACAAGGUCUUUUAUGAGCCUCUUUGCAUGGCCCAUAGUCCUGAGGCAGGAGGCUGGCAAACAGGCCCCUCCAAGAACCAGUGGCGAGGUUAAUUUCGCCACAUUCUCCAUA
Molecule: non-coding RNA, 221 nt
Organism: Pelobates cultripes (western spadefoot toad)
Lineage: Eukaryota; Metazoa; Chordata; Amphibia; Anura; Pelobatidae
Source: the annotation of a GenBank genome assembly